RNAcentral lists this ribosomal RNA (116 nucleotides) under Lepisosteus oculatus (spotted gar). The record is from RNAcentral. Lineage: Eukaryota; Metazoa; Chordata; Actinopteri; Semionotiformes; Lepisosteidae.
GCCAGCAGCCAUAUCACCCUGCAAUGCACAACUGACAACCCACUGAAGCUAAGCAGGUGUAAGUGUGGUCAGUACCUUGAUGGGAGACCUCCUGGGAAAAACUAAGGUUGCUGGAA